GAAAUCUAGGUGCUGGGCCCCAUCAUUCAUAACUGCUGAAAUGUGAAUACUCAGUUUGACUGCAUCAUUAUAGCAGAGGAGAAACCUGCUUGACAUUUUUACACCACUAUGUUUGAUGUUCUGUCACGUGGCAAAAGGAAAAGAAAAUACAGCCCCCUAUUACAGUAUUUUUCAAUUCACUGCAAUGCAGCAAAGGCAGGAGCAACAGAGGGAGGCUGUAUGAGACUGGCUAAGACUGCAAUCCCACACACAUCUCCUCAAGGGAAGGAAGAUGCUGUACAGUCUCUUCGAAACUUACACAAUGCUGGCUAUUUCACUACCCCUUAAGGAUGUAUCAGAGUUGCCUUUACU
Molecule: long non-coding RNA, 351 nt
Organism: Rhineura floridana
Lineage: Eukaryota; Metazoa; Chordata; Lepidosauria; Squamata; Rhineuridae
Exons: 3
Source: RefSeq, a predicted model, not a curated record